AAUGAUGUAACGAGAAUAUCAGAAGAUAAGCAAAAUGAUUCGGAGAAAGGACUGACGAUGAAAGAGAAGAUGUAACGCUUGAAGGAUUCAAAUACUUGGAAGAUCGAACAUCGUCACUCGCAGGUGCAAAUUACUGCUCGAAUUGAUUUUCGAAAUGGGCUGGCUUUUUAAUGCGCCUCCUCUCUGGCGAGGAGAAAUCGCGUGCCGGUAAUUAAACCGAAGGCGAAGGGUUAAAGGCACUCUCUCAGGCACAACAACGUAACCGAUCAAUUUCUACACCACUAGGGGCGUAUCGCAAUAAACGCACACAGAGAAGGGUCGUAAACGCUGCUGCUGAUGCAACAGAUCCUACGCGACCAGUUCAUAACGAGAUCAAAGAGAACGAAAGAAGAGACGGACUGAAGUUAUCUUGUUUGAUCGCGCGAGUCGCAAUCUUCGUCGCAUUGCGGACGUAUCUCGCCGUUUGAAACGUCGCCACGCGAUGUUAUACAUAUACAGGACUCAUGCAAGAGGAAUGGCACGUCCAUCUCGUCAGGAUUCAAAUGAGAUAUUGGCGCACGUGCGAGCGAGCACGCGCAUACACGUGUGUACACGCCUUUGCGAGGAAUUCUCUCGCGAUAUGGUGUUUGUAUUCUUUCUAUCUAGCUUGUCCCAUCCCAUCUAGCUGACUUCGAGCACUUGAUAUUUUUAUAAGAGACGUAAUAUUCUUAGGAAUAUAUUUUCUAUUAAUUAGAAAUUCUAUCUAAUACAAACUUUGAUAAACUUUAGAGCAAAAGUAAGGUAGCUUCGAAGAAUGUAACUUGUAAUAAUUAUGCUUGGUACCCAAUAAAAAUCUCUAUGAUGC
Molecule: long non-coding RNA, 844 nt
Organism: Pogonomyrmex barbatus (red harvester ant)
Lineage: Eukaryota; Metazoa; Arthropoda; Insecta; Hymenoptera; Formicidae
Source: RefSeq, a predicted model, not a curated record